RNAcentral lists this ribosomal RNA (358 nucleotides) under Cotesia hyphantriae. RNAcentral's name for it is "partial 16S ribosomal RNA". Lineage: Eukaryota; Metazoa; Arthropoda; Insecta; Hymenoptera; Braconidae. The record is from RNAcentral.
CUGCUCAAUGAAUAAUUUUAAAUAGCUGCAGUAUAAAUAACUGUACAAAGGUAGCAUAAUAAUUUGUUUUUUAAUUAAAAACUAGAAUGAAUGAUUUAAUGAAAUAUAAACUGUAUCAAAUUUAAUAAAUAAAUUUAUUAUUUAAAUAAAAAAAUUUAAAUAAAUUUUAAAGACGAGAAGACCCUAUAGAAUUUAAAUAAUAUUAUAAAAUUUUAUUUUAAUAAUAUUAUUUUAAUUGGGGAAAUUUUAAAAUUUAAAAAAUUUUUAAUUAAAAAAACAUUAAUUUUUGAAUUUAUAUUUUUUUUUAAAAAAUUAAAUAAAAUUACCUUAGGGAUAACAGCAUAAUUUUUUUAAAAAG